UACGUAGGGUGCAAGCGUUGUCCGGAAUUAUUGGGCGUAAAGAGCUUGUAGGCGGUUUGUCGCGUCGACUGUGAAAACUCGGGGCUCAACUCCGAGCUUGCAGUCGAUACGGGCAGGCUAGAGUUCGGUAGGGGAGACUGGAAUUCCUGGUGUAGCGGUGAAAUGCGCAGAUAUCAGGAAGAACACCCGUGGCGAAGGCGGCUCUCUGGGACGGUACUGACGCUGAGACGCGAAAGCGUGGGGAGCGAACAGG
RNAcentral lists this ribosomal RNA (253 nucleotides) under uncultured bacterium. RNAcentral describes it as "partial 16S ribosomal RNA". It matches the Rfam family "Bacterial small subunit ribosomal RNA", at positions 524 to 776 of the family's 1533-position model. The record is from RNAcentral.